Molecule: ribosomal RNA, 418 nt
Filed under: bacterium CBM5-27
Lineage: Bacteria; Bacillati; Bacillota
Description: bacterial SSU rRNA
Rfam family: Bacterial small subunit ribosomal RNA
Source: RNAcentral
GCAACGGUUAUCCGGAAUUAUUGGGCGUAAAGAGCUCGUAGGCGGUUUGUCGCGUCUGCUGUGAAAUCCGGAGGCUCAACCUCCGGCCUGCAGUGGGUACGGGCAGACUAGAGUGCGGUAGAGGAGAUUGGAAUUCCUGGUGUAGCGGUGGAAUGCGCAGAUAUCAGGAGGAACACCGAUGGCGAAGGCAGAUCUCUGGGCCCGUACUGACGCUAGCGAGCGAAAGGGUGGGGAGCAAACAGGCUUAGAUACCCUGGUAGUCCACCCCGUAAACGUUGAGAACUAGUUGUGGGGUCCAUUCCUCGGAUUCCGUGACGCAGCUAACGCAUUAAGUUCCCCGCCUGGGGAGUACGGCCGCAAGGCUAAAACUCAAAGGAAUUGACGGGGACCCGCACAAGCGGCGGAGCAUGCGGAUUAA